AUUUCCAACCUAAUUCCGCAGUAGGAACUCCAACCUAUAUUGUACCAGAAGUCUUAACAAGAAAAAGUACGAUGGAAAGUGAAUACCAAGAUGAGAGUAUGUGUUGUUAACUGCUGUUGCUAAAAAAUUUAUUUCAUCCUAUUGUAGCAUCAACUUUGUAUUAGUGGGACCACCAACAUACACGUGAUUUGUUUGUCUUUCUCAUUCUGAUGGAAGCAAGCUCAAGAAUGUAAAUGUACAAUUUUGUUCCGCAAAUGAACAUAUAUUGUAUGCAGCUUAUUAUGUUAAUAUUUAGUCACCUUCAUGGUAUUGUUUUCUUUUCUUU
This is a long non-coding RNA of Lycium barbarum (goji berry), 325 nucleotides long. RefSeq lists it as uncharacterized. The record is from RefSeq and is a predicted model, not a curated record. Lineage: Eukaryota; Viridiplantae; Streptophyta; Magnoliopsida; Solanales; Solanaceae. The transcript is spliced from 2 exons.